RNAcentral lists this unclassified non-coding RNA (1581 nucleotides) under uncultured Leucosporidiales. RNAcentral describes it as "sequence contains 18S rRNA gene, ITS1, 5.8S rRNA gene, ITS2, 28S rRNA gene". The stretch from base 605 to 1581 matches the Rfam family "Eukaryotic large subunit ribosomal RNA", at positions 1 to 961 of the family's 3401-position model. The record is from RNAcentral. Lineage: Eukaryota; Fungi; Basidiomycota; Microbotryomycetes; Leucosporidiales.
GGAAGGAUCAUUAAAGAAAGAAAAGGAGCGCUCUUUUUUUAGAGGCUUCGACUCUUCUCUUUCCACACACCCGUGCACUCGGGGGCGUCGGAGCCGGCUGACAAAGCCGUGCCGAGGUGCUUUCCCGCCCUUCAAACUCCGAAAAGUAGUCGAGGAUGUUGUAAAACAAAAAGAAAACUAAACAAAACUUUCAACAACGGAUCUCUUGGCUCUCGCAUCGAUGAAGAACGCAGCGAAAUGUGAUACGUAGUGUGAAUUGCAGAAUUCAGUGAAUCAUCGAAUCUUUGAACGCACCUUGCGCCCUCCGGUAUUCCGGAGAGCAUGCUUGUUUGAGUGUCGUAUCAUCCUCAACCCCCAACAUCUUUCUUGCCUCACUCCGGGUGGCGCGAUCGAUCUGCAUUGGGCGUUGGAUCGUGGCCCGUCUGCCGUUUGCCGUCCGCGGAGAACAGCUCGGCCGAAAUGAAGACAAGUGACUGCACCCAAGCGUGUUGAUCGGCUUGAACUCGACGUUGUAACUGCUUCUUCGUUGAGCUACGAUUUGCGCGUCCGCCCUCCACGGUGGAGCUGGGCUCACUUUGAGAACUACUAUACAUACGAGCAAAUUAGAUCUCAAAUCAGGUAGGACUACCCGCUGAACUUAAGCAUAUCAAUAAGCGGAGGAAAAGAAACUAACAAGGAUUCCCCUAGUAGCGGCGAGCGAAGCGGGAAGAGCCCAAUUUUGAAAUCUGGCUGUCUUGGCAGUCCGAGUUGUAAUCUCGAGAAGCGUUGCCCGUUGUCGGACCAUGCACAAGUCGAUUGGAAUAUCGUAUCAUAGAGGGUGAGAAUCCCGUCUAGGGCAUGGACUCCCGAUGCAUAGUGGCGCGCCUUCAAAGAGUCGAGUUGUUUGGGAAUGCAGCUCAAAUCAGGUGGUAAAUUCCAUCCAAGGCUAAAUAUUGGCGAGAGACCGAUAGCGAACAAGUACCGUGAGGGAAAGAUGAAAAGCACUUUGGAAAGAGGGUGAUUAACAGACGUGAAAUUGUUGAAAGGGAAACGAUUGAAGUCAGACGUGCGCGGCGGGGUUCAGCUCUUCACCGAGUGUAUUUCCCGCCUUUGCAGGCCAGCAUCGGUUGGACCGGGCGCAAAAGUGCUCGGGGAACGUGGCUUCGGCUUCGGCCGGAGUGUUAUAGCCCCUUGCAGGAUGCCUGUCCUGGUCCGACCGUGGAACGCGGCAGUCCUUACUCGUCCUGUGCGAGCAACUGCCAAGGAUGCUGGUGGAAUGGCUUUAAACGACCCGUCUUGAAACACGGACCAAGGAGUCUAACAUGCAUGCGAGUGUUUGAGUGUCAAACUCGGACGCGCAAUGAAAGUGAAUUCUCAGGUGGGAUCCGCAAGGUGCACCAUCGACCGAUCUGGAUUUUCUAAUGAUGGAUUUGAGUAAGAGCAUGUAUGUUGGGACCCGAAAGAUGGUGAACUAUGCCUGAAUAGGGUGAAGCCAGAGGAAACUCUGGUGGAGGCUCGUAGCGAUUCUGACGUGCAAAUCGAUCGUCAAAUUUGGGUAUAGGGGCGAAAGACUAAUCGAACCAUCUAGUAGCUGGUUCCUGC